Molecule: long non-coding RNA, 174 nt
Organism: Maniola jurtina (meadow brown)
Lineage: Eukaryota; Metazoa; Arthropoda; Insecta; Lepidoptera; Nymphalidae
Exons: 3
Source: RefSeq, a predicted model, not a curated record
UUACUUUGGAUCCGAACUCUUCAAUCCUGAUGCUGCAAGGUACUGAACUCCUAAGCCGUGUGGAUUUGGAAAGUUUUGCUGGUGAAUUGAAAUUUUAGAUACCAAGCAAUUACUACUUCCACUAAAAAGCUUAAAAAAAAUUGAAAACCCAACUUCCAAAACCACUACAAAGUA